UGUUCCCCGGCUAGGGCUCCGCCUUCGGGGACCUAGGUGAGGACAGGCAUUUCCUGCCCAAAUGUUGCAUUUCCCAAGACCACCCUGGCCCACCACGCCCCCAUCCUGGGCCUAUAAAAACCCAAGACCCUGGCGGGAAGACACAGAAGUGGUUGGGCGUCGUGAGGAACGCAUCGGCGGCAGAACACUCAAGCGGCUGGUUGUUGAGAGCACGCCAGCUGAAGAGCACCCCUGCACACUGGCAGGCCAUCCACAGGUGUCAGAAACUCAGCUCAGCUGGAAGAAACUUGAUGUACCAGGUAUCAGAGUAGCAAGUAAAGCCACAAGCCAAAAAUGAAAGAGAAUCUUUUAAGUGCUUAUCGUGAUGGUGUAAGUAAUUGUCCAAAAGAAACGCCGAUUCCUUCUGUUCCAUUUUUACCUGUGGAUUGUGGAUUGAAAUAACCAUUGGACCAUGAGGAGAGACUCUGAAGAGAGGCUAGUGAUAUGUGAUAUAAUACUCUUUUGUGACGUUGGACCAUGGCAGUGAGCCGCAGCUCCCAGUCAGCAAUGCGAUCCCAAGAAUAAACAACCGAUUCUUGACAGUGUCCUAUGUUGCCAGUCGAUUUUGUUCAACAGUAGGUACAUCUUUUGACUCUAUUUAGUGAUGUACUUAUUUUCAUCUGAAUUCACUGUGGUCCAGUCCAAACUCGUUGGCUACUUUAAAUAGUGGAAGUCUGGUGCAAGAUGCUCUACCCAUAGAGGCAAGUACACCCCACUCCCAAAUUAAAAAGAUUGACCUUAGCCAAACAUAACACGAGAGAGAGGCAGAAUCUCACUCUGUCACCCAGGAUGGAGUGUGGUGGCGUGAUCAUAGCUUACUGUAACCUCAAACUCCUGGGAUCAAGCAGUCCUCCCACCUCAGCCUCCAAAGUAGCUA
This 916-nucleotide long non-coding RNA is filed under the name Homo sapiens (human). Its description in RNAcentral is "HSALNT0019050". The record is from RNAcentral. Lineage: Eukaryota; Metazoa; Chordata; Mammalia; Primates; Hominidae.